AUUGAACGCUGGCGGCAGGCCUAACACAUGCAAGUCGAACGAGUGGCGGACGGGUGAGUAAUGUCUGGGAAACUGCCUGAUGGAGGGGGAUAACUACUGGAAAAGGUAGCUAAUACCGCAUACCAUCGGAUGUGCCCAGAUGGGAUUAGCUAGUAGGUGGGGUAACGGCUCACCUAGGCGACGAUCCCUAGCUGGUCUGAGAGGAUGACCAGCCAAACUGGAACUGUGACACGGUCCAGACUCCUACGGGAGGCAGCAGUGGGGAUGAUUGCACGAUGGGCGCAAGCCUGAUGCAGCCAUGCCGCGUGUAUGAAGAAGGCCUUCGGGUUGUAAAGUACUUUCAGCGGGGGGGCGUUACCCGCAGGAGAAGCACCGGCUAACUCCGUGCCAGCCGCCGCGGUAAUUC
RNAcentral lists this ribosomal RNA (406 nucleotides) under uncultured bacterium. Its description in RNAcentral is "partial 16S ribosomal RNA". It matches the Rfam family "Bacterial small subunit ribosomal RNA", at positions 30 to 526 of the family's 1533-position model. The record is from RNAcentral.